RNAcentral lists this ribosomal RNA (161 nucleotides) under uncultured bacterium. Its description in RNAcentral is "partial 16S rRNA". It matches the Rfam family "Bacterial small subunit ribosomal RNA", at positions 358 to 511 of the family's 1533-position model. The record is from RNAcentral.
GGAAUCUUCGGCAAUGGACGAAAGUCUGACCGAGCAACGCCGCGUGAGUGAAGAAGGUUUUCGGAUCGUAAAACUCUGUUGUUAGAGAAGAACAAGGGUGAGAGUAACUGUUCACCCCUUGACGGUAUCUAACCAGAGAGCCGCGGCUAACUACGUGCCGG